AGCGAACGCUGGCGGCAGGCCUAACACAUGCAAGUCGAACGAACCUUUCGGGGUUAGUGGCGGACGGGUGAGUAACACGUGGGAACGGGCCUUUAGGUUCGGAAUAACUCAGGGAAACUUGUGCUAAUACCGAAUGUGCCCUUCGGGGGAAAGAUUUAUCGCCUUUAGAGCGGCCCGCGUCUGAUUAGCUAGUUGGGUGAGGUAAUGGCUCACCAAGGCGACGAUCAGUAGCUGGUCUGAGAGGAUGAUCAGCCACAUUGGGACUGAGACACGGCACAAAAUCCUCCGGGAGGCAGCAGUGGGGAAUCUUGCGCAACGGGCUAAAGGCUGACGGAGCUCUGCCGCGUGAAUGAUGAAGGUCUUAGGAUUGUAAAAUUCUUUCACCGGGGCCGAUAAUGACGGUACCCGGAGAAAAAGCCCCGGCUAACUUCGUG
RNAcentral lists this ribosomal RNA (434 nucleotides) under uncultured bacterium. RNAcentral describes it as "partial 16S ribosomal RNA". It matches the Rfam family "Bacterial small subunit ribosomal RNA", at positions 29 to 507 of the family's 1533-position model. The record is from RNAcentral.